AGAGUUUGAUCCUGGCUCAGGACGAACGCUGGCGGCGUGCUUAACACAUGCAAGUCGAGCGGAAAGGCCCUUCGGGGUACUCGAGCGGCGAACGGGUGAGUAACACGUGAGUAAUCUGCCCCUAGCUCUGGGAUAGCUCCGGGAAACCGGGAUUAAUACCGGAUACGACCACUACGGACAUCUGUUUUGGUGGAAAGAAUUUCGGCUAGGGAUGAGCUCGCGGCCUAUCAGCUUGUUGGUGGGGUAACGGCCUACCAAGGCGACGACGGGUAGCCGGCCUGAGAGGGCGACCGGCCACACUGGGACUGAGACACGGCCCAGACUCCUACGGGAGGCAGCAGUGGGGAAUAUUGCGCAAUGGGCGAAAGCCUGACGCAGCGACGCCGCGUGGGGGAUGAAGGCCUUCGGGUUGUAAACCCCUUUCAGCAGGGACGAAGCGAGAGUGACGGUACCUGCAGAAGAAGCGCCGGCUAACUACGUGCCAGCAGCCGCGGUAACACGUAGGGCGCAAGCGUUGUCCGGAAUUAUUGGGCGUAAAGAGCUCGUAGGCGGUCUGUUGCGUCCGCUGUGAAAACUCGGGGCUUAACCCCGAGCCUGCAGUGGAUACGGGCAGACUAGAGGUAGGUAGGGGAGAAUGGAAUUCCCGGUGUAGCGGUGAAAUGCGCAGAUAUCGGGAGGAACACCGGUGGCGAAGGCGGUUCUCUGGGCCUUACCUGACGCUGAGGAGCGAAAGCGUGGGGAGCGAACAGGAUUAGAUACCCCGGUAGUCC
Molecule: ribosomal RNA, 770 nt
Filed under: uncultured bacterium
Lineage: Bacteria
Description: bacterial SSU rRNA
Rfam family: Bacterial small subunit ribosomal RNA
Source: RNAcentral